UGUGGCUCAGUGGUAGAGCACUUGCCUUGAAUGUAUGACUCACUGGGUUCAAUUCUCAGCA
RNAcentral lists this transfer RNA (61 nucleotides) under Urocitellus parryii (Arctic ground squirrel). RNAcentral's name for it is "Spermophilus parryii (Arctic ground squirrel) tRNA". It matches the Rfam family "tRNA", at positions 6 to 65 of the family's 71-position model. Rfam says of the family: Transfer RNA (tRNA) molecules are approximately 80 nucleotides in length. Their secondary structure includes four short double-helical elements and three loops (D, anti-codon, and T loops). Lineage: Eukaryota; Metazoa; Chordata; Mammalia; Rodentia; Sciuridae. RNAcentral also lists the same sequence under 1 other name. The record is from Rfam by way of RNAcentral.